AACCAACUGAGCCACCCAGGCAUUCUGACAGCUACUGUUUCAAAUUAAGAACACAGAAUAUGAUUUCAGAACCACAGCACUCCCUCUACCCUCACCGAAG
Molecule: long non-coding RNA, 100 nt
Organism: Mustela erminea (ermine)
Lineage: Eukaryota; Metazoa; Chordata; Mammalia; Carnivora; Mustelidae
Exons: 3
Source: RefSeq, a predicted model, not a curated record